CUUGCUACCUGACCUAGCGGCGGACGGGUGAGUAAUGCUUAGGAAUCUGCCUAUUAGUGGGGGACAACAUUCCGAAAGGAAUGCUAAUACCGCAUACGCCCUACGGGGGAAAGCAGGGGAUCUUCGGACCUUGCGCUAAUAGAUGAGCCUAAGUCAGAUUAGCUAGUUGGUGGGGUAAAGGCCUACCAAGGCGACGAUCUGUAGCGGGUCUGAGAGGAUGAUCCGCCACACUGGGACUGAGACACGGCCCAGACUCCUACGGGAGGCAGCAGUGGGGAAUAUUGGACAAUGGGCGAAAGCCUGAUCCAGCCAUGCCGCGUGUGUGAAGAAGGCCUUUUGGUUGUAAAGCACUUUAAGCGAGGAGGAGGCUACUUGGAUUAAUACUCUAGGAUAGUGGACGUUACUCGCAGAAUAAGCACCGGCUAACUCUGUGCCAGCAGCCGCGGUAAUACAGAGGGUGCGAGCGUUAAUCGGAUUUACUGGGCGUAAAGCGUGCGUAGGCGGCUUCUUAAGUCGGAUGUGAAAUCCCUGAGCUUAACUUAGGAAUUGCAUUCGAUACUGGGAAGCUAGAGUAUGGGAGAGGAUGGUAGAAUUCCAGGUGUAGCGGUGAAAUGCGUAGAGAUCUGGAGGAAUACCGAUGGCGAAGGCAGCCAUCUGGCCUAAUACUGACGCUGAGGUACGAAAGCAUGGGGAGCAAACAGGAUUAGAUACCCUGGUAGUCCAUGCCGUAAACGAUGUCUACUAGCCGUUGGGGCCUUUGAGGCUUUAGUGGCGCAGCUAACGCGAUAAGUAGACCGCCUGGGGAGUACGGUCGCAAGACUAAAACUCAAAUGAAUUGACGGGGGCCCGCACAAGCGGUGGAGCAUGUGGUUUAAUUCGAUGCAACGCGAAGAACCUUACCUGGUCUUGACAUAGUAAGAACUUUCCAGAGAUGGAUUGGUGCCUUCGGGAACUUACAUACAGGUGCUGCAUGGCUGUCGUCAGCUCGUGUCGUGAGAUGUUGGGUUAAGUCCCGCAACGAGCGCAACCCUUUUCCUUAUUUGCCAGCGGGUUAAGCCGGGAACUUUAAGGAUACUGCCAGUGACAAACUGGAGGAAGGCGGGGACGACGUCAAGUCAUCAUGGCCCUUACGACCAGGGCUACACACGUGCUACAAUGGUCGGUACAAAGGGUUGCUACCUAGCGAUAGGAUGCUAAUCUCAAAAAGCCGAUCGUAGUCCGGAUUGGAGUCUGCAACUCGACUCCAUGA
Molecule: ribosomal RNA, 1249 nt
Filed under: uncultured Acinetobacter sp.
Lineage: Bacteria; Pseudomonadati; Pseudomonadota; Gammaproteobacteria; Moraxellales; Moraxellaceae
Description: bacterial SSU rRNA
Rfam family: Bacterial small subunit ribosomal RNA
Source: RNAcentral